GACGGGUGAGUAACACGUGGGCAACCUGACCUGUAGACGGGGAUAACACCGAUAAAUAGGUGCUAAUACCGGAUAACACGAAAGACCGCAUGGUUUUUCGAAGAAAGGCGGCGCAAGCUGUCGCUACAGGAUGGGCCCGCGGCGCAGUAGCUAGAGGGAGAGGUAACGGCUCACCAAGGCGACGAUGCGUAGCCGACCUGAGAGGGUGAACGGCCACACUGGGACUGACACACGGCCCACACUCCUACGGGAGGCAGCAGAAGGGAAACUUCCGCAAUGGACGAAAGACUGACGGAGCAACGCCGCGUGAGCGAAGAAGGCCUACGGGUCGUAAAGCUCUGUAGUAAGGGAAGAACAGGUACCGCAAUCACUGGAGGUACCAUGACGGAACCUAACGAGAAAGCCACGGCUAACUACGUGCCAGCAGCCGCGGGAAUACGUAGGUGGCAAGCGUAUGUCCGGAAUAAGUGGGCGUAAAGCGCGCGCAGGCGGAACCUUAAGACUGAUGAGAAAGCCCACGGCUCAGCCGGGGAGGGACAUUGGAAACUGGGGGACCUUGAGUGCAGAAGAGGA
This 573-nucleotide ribosomal RNA is filed under the name uncultured organism. RNAcentral describes it as "SSU rRNA". It matches the Rfam family "Bacterial small subunit ribosomal RNA", at positions 100 to 658 of the family's 1533-position model. The record is from RNAcentral.